RNAcentral lists this ribosomal RNA (509 nucleotides) under uncultured bacterium. RNAcentral's name for it is "bacterial SSU rRNA". It matches the Rfam family "Bacterial small subunit ribosomal RNA", at positions 1 to 518 of the family's 1533-position model. The record is from RNAcentral.
CCAGAGAAUUGAUCUGGUCAGGACGAACGCUGGCGGCGUGCUUAACACAUGCAAGUCGAACGAGACUUAGGGAAGAGCUUGCUCGGAACUAAGUCGAGUGGCGGACGGGUGAGUAACGCGUGAAUAAUCUGUCUCAUACAGGGGGAUAACGCAUCGAAAGAUGUGCUAAUACCGCGUAGGACCACAGUGUCGCAUGGCACGAGGGGUGAAAGGAGCAAUCCAGUAUGAGGUGAGUUCGCGUCUGAUUAGAUAGUUGGUGAGGUAACGGCCCACCAAGUCAACGAUCAGUAGCCGACCUGAGAGGGUGAUCGGCCACAUUGGGACUGAGACACGGCCCAGACUCCUACGGGAGGCAGCAGUGGGGAAUAUUGGGCAAUGGGCGAAAGCCUGAACCCCAGCAACGCCGCGUGAAGGAAGAAGGUUUUCGGAUCGUAAACUUCUGUCCUAUAUGAAGAGCAGUAGACGGUAGUAUAGGAGGAAGCCCCGGCUAACUACGUGCCAGCAGCUGC